AGAGUUUGAUCCUGGCUCAGGAUGAACGCUGGCGGCAGGCUUAAUACAUGCAAGUCGAGGGGUAACAGGGGUAGCAAUACCUGCUGACGACCGGUAAACGGGUGCGGAACGCGUACGCAACCUCCCCAUAACUGGUGAAUAGCCUUCCGAAAGGAAGAUUAAUACACCGUAACUUAAUGAAGUGGCAUCACUUUAUUAAUAUACCUCCGGCGGUUUUGGAUGGGCGUGCGGCUGAUUAGGCAGUUGGCGGGGUAACGGCCCACCAACCUGCGAUCAGUAACUGGUGUGAGAGCACGACCAGUCACACGGGCACUGAGACACGGGCCCGACUCCUACGGGAGGCAGCAGUAAGGAAUAUUGGUCAAUGGACGAAAGUCUGAACCAGCCAUGCCGCGUGAAGGAUGAAGGCCCUCUGGGUUGUAAACUUCUUUUAUAGGGGACGAAAAAAGGGAAUUCUUUCCCACUUGACGGUACUCUAGGAAUAAGCACCGGCUAACUCCGUGCCAGCAGCCGCGGUAAUACGGAGGGUGCAAGCGUUAUCCGGAUUCACUGGGUUUAAAGGGUGCGUAGGUGGGUCUGUAAGUCAGUGGUGAAAUCUCCGGGCUUAACCCGGAAACUGCCAUUGAUACUAUAGGUCUUGAAUUAUCUGGAGGUGAGCGGAAUAUGUCAUGUAGCGGUGAAAUGCUUAGAUAUGACAUAGAACACCGAUUGCGAAGGCAGCUCACUACGGAUUGAUUGACACUGAGGCACGAAAGCGUGGGGAUCAAACAGGAUUAGAUACCCUGGUAGUCCACGCCCUAAACGAUGGAUACUCGACAUUUGUGAUAUACAAUAAGUGUCUGAGCGAAAGCAUUAAGUAUCCCACCUGGGAAGUACGACCGCAAGGUUGAAACUCAAAGGAAUUGACGG
This 909-nucleotide ribosomal RNA is filed under the name uncultured Sphingobacteriales bacterium. Its description in RNAcentral is "bacterial SSU rRNA". It matches the Rfam family "Bacterial small subunit ribosomal RNA", at positions 8 to 916 of the family's 1533-position model. Lineage: Bacteria; Pseudomonadati; Bacteroidota; Sphingobacteriia; Sphingobacteriales. The record is from RNAcentral.